Molecule: ribosomal RNA, 333 nt
Filed under: uncultured bacterium
Lineage: Bacteria
Description: bacterial SSU rRNA
Rfam family: Bacterial small subunit ribosomal RNA
Source: RNAcentral
GAUGAACGCUGGCGGCGUGCUUAACACAUGCAAGUCGAACGGGGGUGCCAUGAACGAAGCAUCAGUUUACUGAUAUGGAGGGAAUGGGACCCUAGUGGCGGACGGGUGAGUAACGCGUGGGUAACCUGCCCCAUACCGGGGGAUAACACUUAGAAAUAGGUGCUAAUACCGCAUAAGCGCACGGUACUGCAUGGUACAGUGUGAAAAACUCCGGUGGUAUGGGAUGGACCCGCGUCUGAUUAGCUUGUUGGCGGGGUAACGGCCCACCAAGGCGACGAUCAGUAGCCGGCCUGAGAGGGUGGACGGCCACAUUGGGACUGAGACACGGCCCAA